RNAcentral lists this ribosomal RNA (492 nucleotides) under uncultured bacterium. RNAcentral describes it as "partial 16S ribosomal RNA". It matches the Rfam family "Bacterial small subunit ribosomal RNA", at positions 29 to 507 of the family's 1533-position model. The record is from RNAcentral.
AGUGAACGCUGGCGGUAGGCCUAACACAUGCAAGUCGAACGGCAGCACAGUAAGAGCUUGCUCUUACGGGUGGCGAGUGGCGGACGGGUGAGGAAUACAUCGGAAUCUACUUUUUCGUGGGGGAUAACGUAGGGAAACUUACGCUAAUACCUCAUACGACCUACGGGUGAAAUCAAGAGAUCUUCGGACCUUUCGCGAUUGAAUUAGCCGAUGUCGGAUUAGCUAGGUGGCGGGGUAACGGCCCACCAAAGCAACGAUGCGUAGCCGGCCUGAGAGGAUGAUCGGCCACACUGGAACUGAGACACGGUCCAGACUCCUACGGGAGGCAGCAGUAGGGAAUCUUCCGCAAUGGGCGAAAGCCUGACGGAGCAACGCCGCGUGAGUGAAGAAGGUCUUCGGAUCGUAAAACUCUGUUAUUAGGGAAGAACAAAUGCGUAAGUAACUAUGCACGUCUUGACGGUACCUAAACAGAAAGCCACGGCUAACUACGUG